UACGUAGGGGGCGAGCGUUGUCCGGAAUCAUUGGGCGUAAAGAGCGUGUAGGCGGCUUGGCAAGUCUGACGUGAAAGCCCGCGGCUCAACCGCGGAUUGUCGUUGGAAACUGCCUCGCUAGAGUCCGGAAGAGGAGAGCGGAAUUCCUGGUGUAGCGGUGGAAUGCGCAGAUAUCAGGAAGAACACCCGUGGCGAAGGCGGCUCUCUGGGACGGUACUGACGCUGAGACGCGAAAGCCAGGGGAGCAAACGGG
RNAcentral lists this ribosomal RNA (253 nucleotides) under uncultured bacterium. RNAcentral's name for it is "partial 16S ribosomal RNA". It matches the Rfam family "Bacterial small subunit ribosomal RNA", at positions 524 to 776 of the family's 1533-position model. The record is from RNAcentral.